This 466-nucleotide ribosomal RNA is filed under the name uncultured bacterium. RNAcentral's name for it is "bacterial SSU rRNA". It matches the Rfam family "Bacterial small subunit ribosomal RNA", at positions 28 to 524 of the family's 1533-position model. The record is from RNAcentral.
GACGAACGCUGGCGGCAUGCCUAACACAUGCAAGUCUAGGGGUAGCAAUACCACUGGCGCACGGGUGAGUAACACGUAGGUUAUCUGCCCCCAUCACAGACAUAACCCCGGGAAACCGGGGCUAAUAUCUGAUGAGGUCGCGAGAUCAAAGCUUCGGCGGAUGGGGAUGAGCCUGCGGCUGAUUAGCUAGUUGGUGAGGUAAUGGCUCACCAAGGCGACGAUCAGUAGCUGGUCUGAGAGGACGAACAGCCACACUGGAACUGAGACACGGUCCAGACUCCUACGGGAGGCAGCAGUGAGGAAUAUUGGUCAAUGGGAGCAAUCCUGAACCAGCAAUGCCGCGUGUGGGAUGACAGGGCUUCGCCUUGUAAACCACUGUCGGACGGGACGAAAGGAGGCCUCGGGGCCUCUGGGACGGUACCGUCAAAGGAGGGUCGGCUAACUACGUGCCAGCAGCCGCGGUAAU